RNAcentral lists this ribosomal RNA (311 nucleotides) under Pseudomonas sp. Pdm06. RNAcentral's name for it is "partial 23S ribosomal RNA". It matches the Rfam family "Bacterial large subunit ribosomal RNA", at positions 1 to 305 of the family's 2925-position model. Lineage: Bacteria; Pseudomonadati; Pseudomonadota; Gammaproteobacteria; Pseudomonadales; Pseudomonadaceae. The record is from RNAcentral.
GUUAUAUGGUCAAGUGAAGAAGCGCAUACGGUGGAUGCCUUGGCAGUCAGAGGCGAUGAAAGACGUGGUAGCCUGCGAAAAGCUUCGGGGAGUCGGCAAACAGACUGUGAUCCGGAGAUGUCUGAAUGGGGGAACCCAGCCAUCAUAAGAUGGUUAUCUUGUACUGAAUACAUAGGUGCAAGAAGCGAACCAGGGGAACUGAAACAUCUAAGUACCCUGAGGAAAAGAAAUCAACCGAGAUUCCCUUAGUAGUGGCGAGCGAACGGGGACUAGCCCUUAAGCUUCUUUGAUUUUAGCGGAACGCUCUGGAA